Long non-coding RNA from Musca domestica (house fly), 367 nucleotides. RefSeq lists it as uncharacterized. Lineage: Eukaryota; Metazoa; Arthropoda; Insecta; Diptera; Muscidae. The record is from RefSeq and is a predicted model, not a curated record. The transcript has 3 exons.
AUUUUUGACCCGAUUUUACAAUUUUGUUGCGUACAAAUUCCACGGAGGGAAAUAUUAAACAACGAUCGGGGGUGAUUUUCAAAAACUGUUUGCCCGAAGAUGUCUGCAAUGGAAAAUUAAAUAAUUAUUAAGGUCUGGCCGAUUGGUAUAAAAUAUACAAAAUAUUGAUGGCGAUUGCAACAAACACACCAACACUCAAGGGACCCACCAAACAUGCCGCAAAAGCCAGUAGACCAAUGAAAAGAUCAGAUUCUAGAAGAUAUAAAAUCCAUUGAAUUACAUGCAAUUCGGAAUAUAAUUGUUGCUGUUGCAGGGGAAUCAAUUUUCCAUUUUAAAGCUGAAGCUGCCACAGAGAAGUCGUGCAGAG